UACGUAGGGUGCGAGCGUUAAUCGGAAUUACUGGGCGUAAAGCGUGCGCAGGCGGUUUUGUAAGCCCGAUGUGAAAUCCCCGGGCUUAACCUGGGAAUGGCAUUUGGGACUGCAAGGCUUGAGUUUGGCAGAGGAGACUGGAAUUCCUGGUGUAGCAGUGAAAUGCGUAGAUAUCAGGAGGAAUACCGAUGGCGAAGGCGGGUCUCUGGGCUAGAACUGACGCUCAUGCACGAAAGCGUGGGGAGCGAACAGG
This 253-nucleotide ribosomal RNA is filed under the name uncultured bacterium. RNAcentral describes it as "partial 16S ribosomal RNA". It matches the Rfam family "Bacterial small subunit ribosomal RNA", at positions 524 to 776 of the family's 1533-position model. The record is from RNAcentral.